Molecule: ribosomal RNA, 253 nt
Filed under: uncultured bacterium
Lineage: Bacteria
Description: partial 16S ribosomal RNA
Rfam family: Bacterial small subunit ribosomal RNA
Source: RNAcentral
UACGGGGGGGGCAAGCGUUGUUCGGAAUUACUGGGCGUAAAGGGCUCGUAGGCGGCCAACUAAGUCAGACGUGAAAUCCCUCGGCUUAACCGGGGAACUGCGUCUGAUACUGGAUGGCUUGAGUUUGGGAGAGGGAUGCGGAAUUCCAGGUGUAGCGGUGAAAUGCGUAGAUAUCUGGAGGAACACCGGUGGCGAAGGCGGCAGCCUGGACCAACACUGACGCUGAGGAGCGAAAGCCAGGGGAGCAAACGGG